UAAUACGGAGGGUGCGAGCGUUAAUCGGAAUUACUGGGCGUAAAGAGUGCGUAGGUGGUUAAUUAAGUUAUGUGUAAAAUCCCUGGGCUCAACCUGGGCAGGUCAUAUAAUACUGAUUGACUCGAGUAUGGGAGAGGGUAGUGGAAUUUCCGGUGUAGCGGUGAAAUGCGUAGAGAUCGGAAGGAACACCAGUGGCGAAGGCGGCUACCUGGCCUAAUACUGACACUGAGGCACGAAAGCGUGGGGAGCAAACAGG
Molecule: ribosomal RNA, 256 nt
Filed under: uncultured bacterium
Lineage: Bacteria
Description: partial 16S ribosomal RNA
Rfam family: Bacterial small subunit ribosomal RNA
Source: RNAcentral